This is a long non-coding RNA of Populus nigra (black poplar), 482 nucleotides long. RefSeq lists it as uncharacterized. The record is from RefSeq and is a predicted model, not a curated record. Lineage: Eukaryota; Viridiplantae; Streptophyta; Magnoliopsida; Malpighiales; Salicaceae. The transcript has 2 exons.
AUUUUAAAACAUAAUAUCUUCUACACUCACAGACUGAGCAGCCUAGUCUUACUAUGACCAGAGUCCAGCCUUAGAUAUGCUGAAUUGCUUGAGGCUUCUCUUGAUUCAUAUUCUCUUCUGGUAAGCUUUGGAAGCAGGUCAAACCUUUAUCAAUUAUUACUUGUCAAAGAUGAACUCAAGGAAAAGACUGCCAUGAACCAAUUGUUGAAGAGCCUAUUAAUCUGUCCCAAACUGAGUCAACGACGCCAAACAAGAAGGAAAGAACCACUUAGAUGGUGGCCGUGGCCCAUGGGGCAGCACUCUUGACUCUUUGCUUGCCAAAAGAGCAGGAGCCUUGGGGUUUCUCUGAGAAGUCUUGCUCCAUAACGUGAAUCCAUGGUGCUCUUAAUUGUAUUUGUUUUUGUCUAGAAGUUAUUAGAUAUAUUAAGAUUUUAUUGAAUCCACGUAUAAAUAAUAAUAAUAAUAAUAAUAAUAAUAAUAAU